Molecule: ribosomal RNA, 301 nt
Filed under: uncultured bacterium
Lineage: Bacteria
Description: partial 16S ribosomal RNA
Rfam family: Bacterial small subunit ribosomal RNA
Source: RNAcentral
CAGUAGCCACGGUAAAACGAAGGGUGCAAGCGUUAAUCGGAAUUACUGGGCUUAAAGCGCGCGUAGGUGGUUUGGUAAGAUGGAUGUGAAAUCCCCGGGCUCAACCUGGGAACUGCAUCCAUAACUGCCUGACUAGAGUACGGUAGAGGGUGGUGGAAUUUCCUGUGUAGCGGUGAAAUGCGUAGAUAUAGGAAGGAACACCAGUGGCGAAGGCGACCACCUGGACUGAUACUGACACUGAGGUGCGAAAGCGUGGGGAGCAAACAGGAUUAGAUACCCCGGUAGUCCCUGUCUCUUAUAC